RNAcentral lists this small nuclear RNA (22 nucleotides) under Arabidopsis thaliana (thale cress). Its description in RNAcentral is "snRNA_14303". The record is from RNAcentral. Lineage: Eukaryota; Viridiplantae; Streptophyta; Magnoliopsida; Brassicales; Brassicaceae.
ACUCCGUGAAUCGGAGGCGGGG